This 465-nucleotide ribosomal RNA is filed under the name Vreelandella stevensii. Its description in RNAcentral is "partial 16S ribosomal RNA". It matches the Rfam family "Bacterial small subunit ribosomal RNA", at positions 338 to 795 of the family's 1533-position model. Lineage: Bacteria; Pseudomonadati; Pseudomonadota; Gammaproteobacteria; Oceanospirillales; Halomonadaceae. The record is from RNAcentral.
CCUACGGGUGGCAGCAGUGGGGAAUAUUGGACAAUGGGGGGAACCCUGAUCCAGCCAUGCCGCGUGUGUGAAGAAGGCCCUCGGGUUGUAAAGCACUUUCAGUGAGGAAGAACGCCUGGUGGUUAAUACCCAUCAGGAAAGACAUCACUCACAGAAGAAGCACCGGCUAACUCCGUGCCAGCAGCCGCGGUAAUACGGAGGGUGCGAGCGUUAAUCGGAAUUACUGGGCGUAAAGCGCGCAUAGGUGGCUUGAUAAGCCGGUUGUGAAAGCCCCGGGCUCAACCUGGGAACGGCAUCCGGAACUGUCAAGCUAGAGUGCAGGAGAGGAAGGUAGAAUUCCCGGUGUAGCGGUGAAAUGCGUAGAGAUCGGGAGGAAUACCAGUGGCGAAGGCGGCCUUCUGGACUGACACUGACACUGAGGUGCGAAAGCGUGGGUAGCAAACAGGAUUAGAUACCCUGGUAGUC